AAAAAACCUAACUCCUUUUGACCUAUUUCGAGUUUCUAAAUUUGUUUCAUCUAUUGCUCAAUUGAGUCUGUAAAUCCCUAUUUCAACCUUUGUUUAUUUAAACAAUUUUUAUUCUCUACUAAACUCUUCUAAAGUCUUUAUACUGGACCCUUUAUAUGUUAUUUCAUACUCUCUCUUCUCCGUUGCUGGGUUACCCUAUGAUUACCAUGUUCCUAUAGUCUGCUACUUACUGAUUUUUAAUUGCAUGGCACUUUUUCUUUGUCCUAAAUUCAACCUCGUAUGCCAAAUACUUGUGUACUCUUUAUAUGUACUGAACUUCCCUCUAAAUGACAUACAAAUUUUUGAAUGAUUUUAGACUUCCUUCAUGUAAGUCUGAUUGAUUUCUUUCCUUGUUUGCUUAUUUCCUUGUAACCUGGUUUGGGUCGAAAACUUUCCCUAGCCUUUCUUACUUGGUUUAUUCAUGGACCAAUAAUUACAAACCUCUGACUCAUUGAUUUCAUGUGUACUAACUGAUUCUUGCCUUAUUUUUCUUUGAUCGUGUAUUUCAAAACUCUUCCCCUAAAUAAACUCCUAUGUAUUUACCCCUAAUUGCCUACUUUGCACAAGAUGCUUAUUUGAUCUCUUUCCUUAAACAAUUUUUUUGCUCAUUACUGUUUAAGUCUGAAUUCCUUAAUUAAAAAAAGUCUUAUAUUGAUUUUUUAAUUGAUACUCAGUUUCAUAAUUAUUUUUUCCUUGCCUUAUUUCAACCUAUUUUUCACACUACAAAUACACGACUUUUUCAUUAACACAAAUACAUCCAUCACUCGUAGUCUUUUUGAACUAACACUUACACUCAAAAGUAUUUUCUCUUGUUGCUUGUACUGUGACCUGUUUACAUAACAUGUUGCUUGCUUUCUCCCUAUUCGCAUCUUUGAAACUAGUAUGUCCUGAUUUAAGGUUUUUAGUACCACAACAAUGUGUUUAUUUACUGAUUCUGUCUCCCUGUCUGCUCAGUACUUCUAUAUAGUUCAACAAUUACUAUAGAAUACUAAUUUCUUUCUGCCUGUUCUAUUAUAAAUCCCAAACUUCUAACCCUAUGUGUUCAUGAUAUAGUUUGAGGCAUGGCAAUACUGCAAAUUAUUGUGCAUGAAUCAAACUUGAUCCAUUGUGAUCCUAGCCUCUAAAUAGUGUCCUGGCAGGCUUGAGAGUAUGCUAGCGUCCUUCAUUGUUGGGCAUGCUUGAAUC
RNAcentral lists this long non-coding RNA (1224 nucleotides) under Nicotiana benthamiana. Its description in RNAcentral is "long non-coding RNA (NBEN_LNC009715)". The record is from RNAcentral. Lineage: Eukaryota; Viridiplantae; Streptophyta; Magnoliopsida; Solanales; Solanaceae.